CGCUGAGGCUUUCCAGGAUUCUGACAGACCUGAAGGAUCCUCUCCUGGUGACCCCAUGGACCGUGCCAGACCCCGGUCAAGGAUGAGCCGGGGGUCUUGACCGGCUUUCUGAAAACUGACAGUGAUGGAGAUACCCAUCCAGCAGCCCUGGUAGAAGAUCCUGUCUCCUCCAGUUUGGGAAUGAAAAGUUCCUGACAGCAACUUGGCACCAGGCCCAGUCCUUCUCUGCAUCCCUGAAAACUUGCUCUUCAAGGUAUUUCUGAGCCAGGCCACCCAGGACCUGAGCGUGAAUAGCCCAUCACCAGCUGGGGGCGGUGGAAGACCG
This is a long non-coding RNA of Condylura cristata (star-nosed mole), 325 nucleotides long. RefSeq lists it as uncharacterized. Lineage: Eukaryota; Metazoa; Chordata; Mammalia; Eulipotyphla; Talpidae. The transcript is spliced from 3 exons. The record is from RefSeq and is a predicted model, not a curated record.